RNAcentral lists this unclassified non-coding RNA (321 nucleotides) under soil metagenome. Its description in RNAcentral is "partial contains internal transcribed spacer 2 and large subunit ribosomal RNA". The stretch from base 1 to 118 matches the Rfam family "5.8S ribosomal RNA", at positions 35 to 154 of the family's 154-position model. The record is from RNAcentral.
GAUGAAGAACGUAGCGAAAUGCGAUACGUAUUGUGAAUUGCAGACUAGUGAACCAUCGAAUCUUUGAACGCACCUUGCGGCCGCCGGCUCUCCGGCGGCCACGCCCGUUCGAGCGUCAUCAAAACCCUCAGGCGUCACGCUUGGCCUUGGGUGCACAGGCUCGCCCUGGCGCCCUAAUCUUAUCGGCGGUAGCGUUUUGUGGGCCCUACGUAGUUCAUCCCUCGUAGCGGUCGCACUCGCUCCUUGCCUCGCACAACUUCAUCUUGACCUCGAAUCGGGUGGGGAUACCCGCUGAACUUAAGCAUAUCAAUAAGCGGAGGA